UACGUAGGGUGCAAGCGUUAAUCGGAAUUACUGGGCGUAAAGCGUGCGCAGGCGGUUGUGGAAGACAGAUGUGAAAUCCCCGGGCUCAACCUGGGAACUGCAUUUGUGACUGCACAGCUUGAGUGCGGCAGAGGGGGAUGGAAUUCCGCGUGUAGCAGUGAAAUGCGUAGAUAUGCGGAGGAACACCGAUGGCGAAGGCAAUCCCCUGGGCCUGCACUGACGCUCAUGCACGAAAGCGUGGGGAGCAAACAGG
RNAcentral lists this ribosomal RNA (253 nucleotides) under uncultured bacterium. RNAcentral describes it as "partial 16S ribosomal RNA". It matches the Rfam family "Bacterial small subunit ribosomal RNA", at positions 524 to 776 of the family's 1533-position model. The record is from RNAcentral.